CCUACGGGAGGCAGCAGUGAGGAAUAUUGGUCAAUGGACGAGAGUCUGAACCAGCCAAGUAGCGUGAAGGGUGACUGCCCUAUGGGUUGUAAACUUCUUUUAUAUGGGAAUAAAACGUUCCACGUGUGGGAUUUUGUAUGUACCAUAUGAAUAAGGAUCGGCUAACUCCGUGCCAGCAGCCGCGGUAAUACGGAGGAUCCGAGCGUUAUCCGGAUUUAUUGGGUUUAAAGGGAGCGUAGGUGGAUUGUUAAGUCAGUUGUGAAAGUUUGCGGCUCAACCGUAGAAUUGCAGUUGAAACUGGCAGUCUUGAGUACAGUAGAGGUGGGCGGAAUUCGUGGUGUAGCGGUGAAAUGCUUAGAUAUCACGAAGAACUCCGAUUGCGAAGGCAGUUCACUGGACUGCAACUGACACUGAGGCUCGAAAGUGUGGGUAUCAAACAGGAUUAGAUACCCUUGUAGUC
RNAcentral lists this ribosomal RNA (460 nucleotides) under uncultured bacterium. Its description in RNAcentral is "partial 16S ribosomal RNA". It matches the Rfam family "Bacterial small subunit ribosomal RNA", at positions 338 to 795 of the family's 1533-position model. The record is from RNAcentral.